RNAcentral lists this ribosomal RNA (1377 nucleotides) under uncultured bacterium. RNAcentral describes it as "bacterial SSU rRNA". It matches the Rfam family "Bacterial small subunit ribosomal RNA". The record is from RNAcentral.
AGAGUUUGAUUCUGGCUCAGGAUGAACGCUGGCGGCGUGCUUAACACAUGCAAGUCGAACGAAGCACUUGAUUUGAUUUUCUUCGGAAUUGAAGAUCUUGUGACUGAGUGGCGGACGGGUGAGUAACGCGUGGGCAACCUGCCUUGUACAGGGGGGUAACAGUUAGAAAUGACUGCUAAUACCGCAUAAGACCACAGCACCACAUGGUGCAGGGGUAAAAGCUGAGGUGGUACAAGAUGGGCCCGCGUCUGAUUAGCUAGUUGGUGAGGUAACGGCUCACCAAGGCGACGAUCAGUAGCCGACCUGAGAGGGUGACCGGCCACAUUGGGACUGAGACACGGCCCAAACUCCUACGGGAGGCAGCAGUGGGGAAUAUUGCACAAUGGGGGAAACCCUGAUGCAGCGACGCCGCGUGAGUGAUGAAGUAUUUCGGUAUGUAAAGCUCUAUCAGCAGGGAAGAAAAUGACGGUACCUGACUAAGAAGCCCCGGCUAACUACGUGCCAGCAGCCGCGGUAAUACGUAGGGGGCAAGCGUUAUCCGGAUUUACUGGGUGUAAAGGGAGCGUAGACGGAACAGCAAGUCUGAUGUGAAAACCCGGGGCUCAACCCCGGGACUGCAUUGGAAACUGUUGAUCUAGAGUGUCGGAGAGGUAAGUGGAGUUCCUAGUGUAGCGGUGAAAUGGCGUGGAAAUUAGGAGGAACCCCCGUGGCGCCGGCGGCUUGCUGGNCGGUGUCUGUCGUUGUGGCUCGAAAGCGUGGGGNGCUCUCAAAAUAGAUCCCCUGGUGUCCACGCCGUCCNCCCCCCAAAGGGGGUCGGGUGGCAAAGCCAUUCGGUGCCGCAGCAAACGCAAUAAGUAGUCCACCUGGGGAGUACGUUCGCAAGAAUGAAACUCAAAGGAAUUGACGGGGACCCGCACAAGCGGUGGAGCAUGUGGUUUAAUUCGAAGCAACGCGAAGAACCUUACCUGCCCUCGACAUCCGAAUGACCGGUGAGUAAUGUCGCCUUUCCUUCGGGACAUUCGAGACAGGUGGUGCAUGGUUGUUGUCAGCUCGUGUCGUGAGAUGUUGGGUUAAGUCCCGCAACGAGCGCAACCCUCAUCUUUAGUAGCCAGCAACUAGGAUGGGCACUCUAGAGAGACUGCCAGGGAUAACCUGGAGGAAGGUGGGGAGGACGUCAAAUCAUCAUGCCCCUUAUGGGCAGGGCUACACACGUGCUACAAUGGCGUAAACAAAGGGAAGCAGAGUCGUGAGGCCGAGCAAAUCUCAAAAAUAACGUCUCAGUUCGGAUUGUAGUCUGCAACUCGACUACAUGAAGCUGGAAUCGCUAGUAAUCGCGAAUCAGAAUGUCGCGGUGAAUACAUUCCCGGGUCUUGCACA